GGGGCUGUAGCUCAGUGUCUAGAGCCCCCACCCUGCAGGCAGAAGGUCCAAGGUUCAAUUCCUGGCAUCUCCA
Molecule: non-coding RNA, 73 nt
Organism: Podarcis lilfordi (Lilford's wall lizard)
Lineage: Eukaryota; Metazoa; Chordata; Lepidosauria; Squamata; Lacertidae
Source: the annotation of a GenBank genome assembly